Colossoma macropomum (tambaqui) is the source of this 1020-nucleotide long non-coding RNA. RefSeq lists it as uncharacterized. The record is from RefSeq and is a predicted model, not a curated record. Lineage: Eukaryota; Metazoa; Chordata; Actinopteri; Characiformes; Serrasalmidae. The transcript has 3 exons.
GCCCUGCCGUCUUCAGCGAAGGCAAACUGCCUCUCCACAUUCGCCGUGCGUCUGACGUGCUGAAAAUAACUUUUCCGACACGCCGAAUAAACAGCAGCUGUCAUUCCUCGUCCGAGCUAUAAAUAAAAGGGGUCGUUUAUCUGCCAUGCGUCGGAAUAACACGGCCGCGAGCUCACAAACGAGUGGGAGACGUGAGGAAUAACGGAGAGGGGCCUGAAAAAUGGACAUGAUGAGAAGGACAGCAGGGGGCUGCUGGUUUUAUGAUGACAACUCUCUCUGUCUCUCUCCAUCUCUCUCUAGCACCAUGGAUGGGACUGUAUGCUGCAGGAGCUCCUGUUUCACAGAUCCUGUAUUGUGUCAAAAGCUUGGGGACACCUACAAUCAUGUGAAAACUCUGUCCUGUGCUUCACACAGCUGAUACCACUGCCUCACCCUGCUGUCUCAGCUCCUCCUCAAAUAUCACAGAGAUGGAACCUUAGACGAAAAGAUUUGAAGACCCAGUGAGCAAUCAGCACAACUGCCCAGUCAGUUCUCAGUAAUGCCAUGACAAUCGUUGUUAGGAUUAACACUCUCACUCAGCUUUAUUAGGAACUCCUACCAUGUACAUUCCCCACAAGGGUUACUUUUUGAGCUCUGUCUACCUUAUAGGUCCACUAUAUGAGUAUACAAUUGCAGACUGCAGCCCAUCUGUUGCCACGCACAGUUUAUCAUUCACCCUCCACCCCUUUCAUCAUUAUUUAUAUGGUGGGCUGUUUUUGAAAAACUGCUGUUUUGGUCUUUGACAUGGUAGUGACACUGUGGUGUUGCUGGAGUUUUUACAGAUGUCAAUAUCACUGCUAGGUUGAGAGUUCUUCACCACCCACAAAUAUCCAGCAAAGAGUGGCUCAGCGGUCAGAAACUGAUAACUGAUAGAAAGCUAGAGGACGGCAUGUAUGUGACAGCAGAGGGGAUACAGUUGCUACUUGUACACCAGCAACAUGAACUUUCUACAAGUCCUAUAAGGUAUUGGUCUCUAAUAAA